UACGGAGGGUGCGAGCGUUAAUCGGAAUUACUGGGCGUAAAGGGUGCGUAGGUGGUUUGAUAAGUUAUCUGUGAAAUUCCUGGGCUUAACCUGGGACGGUCAGAUAAUACUGUUGGACUCGAGUAUGGGAGAGGGUAGUGGAAUUUCCGGUGUAGCGGUGAAAUGCGUAGAGAUCGGAAGGAACACCAGUGGCGAAGGCGGCUACCUGGCCUAAUACUGACACUGAGGCACGAAAGCGUGGGGAGCAAACAGG
Molecule: ribosomal RNA, 253 nt
Filed under: uncultured bacterium
Lineage: Bacteria
Description: partial 16S ribosomal RNA
Rfam family: Bacterial small subunit ribosomal RNA
Source: RNAcentral